Ictalurus punctatus (channel catfish) is the source of this 2425-nucleotide long non-coding RNA. RefSeq lists it as uncharacterized. The record is from RefSeq and is a predicted model, not a curated record. NCBI's taxonomy places the organism in Eukaryota, Metazoa, Chordata, Actinopteri, Siluriformes, Ictaluridae. The transcript has 9 exons.
GUCGAAGGUAGGAGCAGAAAGCGGUGCUAGUGUUAGUUCUGGCCCGUUUGGACCCAAACUAAAGUGUAUCAGUAUGAAGCAGGCGGUGACGGCGCACUGAUUCACUCUCGGAGCUCGGUUCACUAAUGACCGAAUCACCGAGGAACCGACCAACGAUAAUUCACACCCGCACGGAGAAGAAGAACAAGAGGAGGAGAAGAUGAGCUGGAGUGGGGCAAAGAGAACUGCAUUCAGAUCAAACGGAUACAAGAGAGGUGGCCGAGUUGUUUGAGGAUCUGAAGAAUUGAGUGUCACAAUUCAACAUGCACAUCAGUGAAACUUUUCCCUCUGACUACACCAGCACGCACGCACAGAAAUUCAUAGUGCAGGUGGCGAUUGCAGGCGCAUUUUAUCUGAACUGCUUCCUCCAGGGAACUGUGGACGAGGAGCUCGCCUCCAAGGAACUCUAUGGAAACGACCCCAGGACCACCAUAGUGGUAUUCAGUCAGCUUCCAUUUAACUAGGGGAUUAUUAUUAUUAUUAUUAUUAUUAUUAAUAAUAUUUCUCUCUCUCCCUCCCUCUCUCUCUCUCUCAGGUGUGUAAUCUCCCUCCAUUUGCGUUCCUCUACCAUAAACAGCUCCAGUCUCUCUUCAGACACUGUGGUUAAAUCAAAUCCAUCUCCUUUGACAGCUCCAGGGCCUAUGUAGAGUUCUACCGCUCGUCAAUGAGAGGUUCUGGCGUUCUCCCAGAGGUCUCUCUGUCUCUCCUCCUCACGCAGCAGAGACUUCCUCUCCAUCUCAACGUUUAACCCACUGGAGAGGUGGAGACUUGGGCAGGGGGGUAGUGUAUCUCACACCUCAGAUAUACACGGGUGAAUGUGGAUUUUCAGAAUCAGUCAGUGAGCCCUGUCGGGGUUCUGAGCAGCUCCAUUGAGUUGGAGAAUCUUCCGUCUAACCCUGUCUUUAUCGUCAAUAUCACCGAGGUGUCUGUUCCGCCUCUUUCACUUUCAGUGCACAAAUAAAAAAGAAGCAGUGGCUCCUGUGUGUGUGUGUGUGUGUGUGUGUGUGUGCACUAACAGGAGGUCCAGGUGCAGCCUUUGGAUAUUGAUGAAGAUUUACUGCCCCUGCAAGACCUUCCUCAACUGCGUAGUCUGGAGCAAAGGAUGCAACAGAGCCCAGAUUACAAGCAAAAUCUGGUAAACUGGUUGGCGCUUAUUGACGGGGUGUAUGUGCGUGACUGCACCUGGCGCAUAUUGAAGAGGGUGAUUGCUAACUCCCUGGCAAAGAAUCUCAAUUGGAGGGGAGUCAAUGGAAAGACUUCACUGUCCGCUCUCCAACUCGGAGAGGUCGUGAUUGUGAGUGGGGGCCACGCUGCUGAAGCGCACUUUGUGACUCACGAUGAAGUCGUACCUGACAAAUCAAGCCGCCAGCGUUUAAAACACACCGAACGCAACCUGAAGCUGCCACAGAAAGACCGCCAGAGAAAGAGAAAAAGAUCGAUGAACUACGCCUGAACACACCACUCGGGUCACGUGACUUCGGCGUCGAUGACCGUUCCGGGAGGAGGGUUGCUCAGUCAACGAUUUUCAUUAUCGAUUUUCAUCAACUAUUAUGGAUUAGAUGUUGCAGCUCUAUUUGCAACACAUUAUACUAAGCAUUGUGUGGUAUUUGAAGAUGUUUGUUCAAGGUAAUGCAGUUAAUACCCAUUGCAGUUCUUUAUACUUCGGGGUUAUUACUCAGAUUAUAAAUGUAUUUGAGUGAGGACAUUUAUCACCUGUGUGCUUUUUCUGCAUUGUUAUUAGCAUAUGUACUGUAUGAUUUAGUAAAAUAAUCAUAAGCCAUUACGUUGUUAUUCUGAUUACUCUGGGUGUGUGUGUGUGUGUGUGUGUGUGUGUGUGUGUGUGUGUGUGUGUGUUCAUGCUCUUGGGUGUGUGUGCUGUGUGCUGCACUUCCUCUUUUUGGUCAGGCCCUAGGCCUUGCUGUAGUUAACUUUUAAGAGACAUUGUCUAUAAGGAAGAGAGUGUGACUCUGUUCUUUCCCUUAUUCUCAAUAAAUUCUCAUUCUCCAUAUUUUAUUGCCCUUGUGUUUUAUUUCUAUCAAAAAUCUUCUCCAACACUGAUAACAAUCGGUCUGAUGAGACCUGAGCCAGGAGAGGACCGUUCCCUUAAUGCCAACAACAUUUUCUAAUCUAUCUAGCGCAGAGGUGCCCAAACUUUUUCCUGUGAAGGGCCAAGUUUGGCCCGCAGGCCCUAGUUUGGGCACCUCUGAUCUAGCGUGUAGCGGAGCGUUGAUUCGGUCACCUGAUCGAGUUCUAUCGGAUCAGACGGUGAUCCAAAUCUAACUGAUGUCUGUGCGAGGUUAUUGAUGAAGCUCGGUGCAGUAGCUGAUGUGAAAGUACAUUUUAUGCGGUGGCGAGGUGGAAAUAUGAUCCAUACGUAUCAUGAACG